GUGGCUGUGGCUCGGUGGUAGAGCGCUCGCCUAGCAUGCGUGAGGCCCCGGGUUCGAUCCUCAGCACCACA
Molecule: transfer RNA, 71 nt
Filed under: Ictidomys tridecemlineatus (thirteen-lined ground squirrel)
Lineage: Eukaryota; Metazoa; Chordata; Mammalia; Rodentia; Sciuridae
Description: Spermophilus tridecemlineatus (thirteen-lined ground squirrel) tRNA
Rfam family: tRNA
About the family: Transfer RNA (tRNA) molecules are approximately 80 nucleotides in length. Their secondary structure includes four short double-helical elements and three loops (D, anti-codon, and T loops). Further hydrogen bonds mediate the characteristic L-shaped molecular structure. tRNAs have two regions of fundamental functional importance: the anti-codon, which is responsible for specific mRNA codon recognition, and the 3' end, to which the tRNAs corresponding amino acid is attached (by aminoacyl-tRNA synthetases). tRNAs cope with the degeneracy of the genetic code in two manners: having more than one tRNA (with a specific anti-codon) for a particular amino acid; and 'wobble' base-pairing, i.e. permitting non-standard base-pairing at the 3rd anti-codon position.
Source: Rfam by way of RNAcentral